UCGAGCGGUAGAGAGGAGCUUGCUCCUCUUGAGAGCGGCGGACGGGUGAGUAAUGCCUAGGAAUCUGCCUGGUAGUGGGGGAUAACGUUCGGAAACGGACGCUAAUACCGCAUACGUCCUACGGGAGAAAGCAGGGGACCUUCGGGCCUUGCGCUAUCAGAUGAGCCUAGGUCGGAUUAGCUAGUUGGUGAGGUAAUGGCUCACCAAGGCGACGAUCCGUAACUGGUCUGAGAGGAUGAUCAGUCACACUGGAACUGAGACACGGUCCAGACUCCUACGGGAGGCAGCAGUGGGGAAUAUUGGACAAUGGGCGAAAGCCUGAUCCAGCCAUGCCGCGUGUGUGAAGAAGGUCUUCGGAUUGUAAAGCACUUUAAGUUGGGAGGAAGGGCAGUAAAUUAAUACUUUGCUGUUUUGACGUUACCGACAGAAUAAGCACCGGCUAACUCUGUGCCAGCAGCCGCGGUAAUACAGAGGGUGCAAGCGUUAAUCGGAAUUACUGGGCGUAAAGCGCGCGUAGGUGGUUUGUUAAGUUGGAUGUGAAAUCCCCGGGCUCAACCUGGGAACUGCAUUCAAAACUGACUGACUAGAGUAUGGUAGAGGGGUUGGUGGAAUUUCCUGUGUAGCGGUGAAAUGCGUAGAUAUAGGAAGGAACACCAGUGGCGAAGGCGACCACCUGGACUAAUACUGACACUGAGGUGCGAAAGCGUGGGGGAGCAAACAGGAUUAGAUACCCUGGUAGUCCACGCCGUAACGAUGUCAACUAGCCGUUGGGAGCCUUGAGCUCUUAGUGCGCAGCUAACGCAUUAA
This 807-nucleotide ribosomal RNA is filed under the name Pseudomonas sp. CC2A. Its description in RNAcentral is "bacterial SSU rRNA". It matches the Rfam family "Bacterial small subunit ribosomal RNA", at positions 62 to 863 of the family's 1533-position model. The record is from RNAcentral. Lineage: Bacteria; Pseudomonadati; Pseudomonadota; Gammaproteobacteria; Pseudomonadales; Pseudomonadaceae.